AGAGACUGAGAGAGACAGAGCGUGAGCAGGGGAAGGGCAGAGAGAGAGAGGGAGUCACAGAUUCUGAAGCAGGCUCCAGGCUCUGAGCUGUCAGCACAGAGCCCGAAGCGGGGCUCGAACUCACGAACCAUAAGUUCAUGAGAUCAUGACCUGAGCCGACGUCGGGUGCUUAACCGACUGAGCCACCCAGGCGCUCCUGGACUUCUGGAAUGUGAGAGGGAAAUACACUUUUGUCAAGUGUAAUCCGCUGGUAUUUGGGGAUUUCUUUUGAAAAAUUUAAAGUCCAGUUAGCAGACCGUGUAAUAUUAGUUUCAGGAGUACAAGAUAGUGACUCAACACUUCCAUACAUCACCUAGUGCUCAUCCGGACAGGUGCACUCCUUAACCCCCAUCACCUGUGUAACCCAUCCCCCCACCCACCUGCCCUCCAGUAACCAUCAGAUUGUUCUCUACAGUUAAGAAUCUGUUUCUUGGUUUGUCUCUCUCUUUCUCUCUCUCUUUUUUCCCCUGUUGCUCGUUUGUUUUGUUUCUUAAAUUCCACACAUGAGUGAAAUCAUACGGUAUUUGUCUUUCUCUGACAGACUUAUUUUACUUAGCGCAAUACUCUCUACUCCAUCCGUGUUCUUGCGAAUGGCAAGAUUUCAUUCUUUUUCAUGACCGGCCCCAAGCCACCCUGAAAUCGCCGAGUGUGUCGCCUGGCUCCGCGCCUCUUCUGGGCCCCCUCCGCCAACCCCCAAGUGACCUGAUGGUGGUCCGAAGUCCCCUCUGAGUAACCCUGCCCCCAGCACUUCCCACCUGAGCUUUCACACCGGAUGGCCUCACAGCACUUGUAGGAGGGAGGCGCACCGUACUAGAGCAAGAUUCAGGAUGCCUCAAGCUGACACUUGACUCCGGUGGCUUCCACGCCUGUCACUGAUGGGAUUACCAAGGCUCAGCCUUUGCCCUCGUGCCUGUGUGUGUUCCUUUGGCCUGUGGCAUUACUAGCAUCUCGUCACCAUAACCCCCUCACUCCUGUCUGCCCUUUGGACCGCUCUUUGUGCUCUGGACUUGUGCAGCCAACUGCCCGCCAACAUCCCCACUGGGAUGUCUUACAGGCACCUCGGACGUCACAAGUGCAAACUGACCUCGCUCGGUCACCCACAAACUUACUUCUCUUCCACUCUGGUCUUGGCAUCUUCAACAUCUCCUCUCCCUCUUCUUCUGCAUCCACUCCACCCCAACACCACUGUGCCUGCACCGUUGCUGGAGCUUCCUCCUGCCUCCCUGAAGCCACCCUGACUGGCCAGCCACUCCUUACCAUCCUAAAAUGAAGGUCAUUCUCGGAGGGCAGCAGUCACAUCCCCUUCAUCUCUGGGAUCCCUUGAACACCAGCAGAGGGUCUGGUACAAAAUAGGAGCCGAUGAAUAUCCAAUCAGCAGAGUUUAUUGAGGAUCUACUACACACCAGGAAUAUUCUUUCAUGGGUGACAGCUUCCAGGGAAGGUCAGCUGAACAGAGCCUCUGGUCACAGUCUGCCUUCAGCUCUCCUGAGAGGGGACUGGAGCCUCUUCUGGAGAAGCUGGUGAGGUUAUGAAUGGGUCCUGAAAACCUGGGGCUCCCAGCAAGUCGAUGGCGAGUUUGGGUGCUAACUUCCCUGAACGGGUCUUCCAUUUGAGCAGGAGAUAGACGUUGGAGGAGGGACAGCGGGCAGAGAGAAAGGGCAGCCCGCCCUCCACUGUUUGGCAAACGUGUGUUUACCAUGAGCGGACGCAGGACCCUUGCCACGGCGGAGGCCUCCACAGGAAUCAGAGUUGGGACAAAGGAAGGAGGAAGCAUUUGGCUUCACAUUCUAGAGAAAGAAGACCCUACUGGGCUGCAGACUCCCCUCCAGGGGCUGUUGGAAAGUGGCUGGACCUCUUCUGCUUCUCCCCAACCACUCUGCCACUCUGCCAGUUACCAGUUACCAGCAGGGACUGUGCAGUCACUGAAACCAGCACCCUAGGGAGGCCCAACUCUGGACACACCAGCCACACAGAAAAGAGACGCCGACACCCCAAGGAGGUGAUUACGCCAGGGGGGCAGCGAAACACAGAGCCUCUUGUCUCUCCUCUCCCUCUCUUCCCACACAGCCUUCCCCCACCAUGAGCGUUUGAUUAGCUGUGAGGUGUUUACCUUGUCACUAGAUGGAACUGGGAACUGGGUCUUUUUUGUAUCUGAAAGUCACCAGAAAGCCACAGGACUUGCCAAGAUGGUCGGAAUGGGAAGAGGAGGAUGAAGGUUGGAUUUAGGGGAAAAUGGCUACACCCCCACCCUUCACUGAGCUGAGCACCUUGGGAGCCAGUGACCAGAGCAGCUUCCCCGAGGGCACCCAUUCUGCGCCCCGAGAGCCCAGCUGUGCAGGGGCCCUCGGUGAGGGGCGACACAGAAUCUAAGGGAUGAGUGGCUCCCGGAGUGAGGCUCAGCCCUUGUCCUUGCUGGGUACCAAGCGGCAACUGCUGUUGUCAUCAGGGAGCUCUCCUAGGCUGGCAACGCCAUCCAGGAAGUGCUAUCCUGGGGGGCCGCCCUCCCUCCUGCCCUCCUGUUCUCCCUCUCUAGCGUCAGGCCCGGGCCAGAGGGAGCCGACAGCAAAGGUCCCUGGAACCCAGAGGAGCAAAUCCCCUGGACUCAGUGAGGAGGUGGGAGGUCCGGGCCAGGGUGGAGACACAAGGCGGUUCUGAGCCCAGACCUGGCUGAGGGCACAAGUUCAGGAGGCAGCAGGGUGGUUUCCCAUGCUGCUUUUGUAAGGCCUUGUAACUUAAGCCCCCAGUCUGCAGAGUGAAUAAAGGCGGACCUUUUUUCA
Molecule: long non-coding RNA, 2816 nt
Organism: Neofelis nebulosa (Clouded leopard)
Lineage: Eukaryota; Metazoa; Chordata; Mammalia; Carnivora; Felidae
Exons: 7
Source: RefSeq, a predicted model, not a curated record